UUUUAGCCCAGAUAGUAGUGGAAAUCCUUUUCUUUUUUUCUUUAAAAAAAGAAAAGAUUGCAACGGAUAGCUGGAAAUAGC
This 81-nucleotide small RNA is filed under the name Flavobacterium dankookense. Its description in RNAcentral is "Flavobacterium sp. ARSA-19 Flavo-1 RNA". It matches the Rfam family "Flavo-1 RNA". Lineage: Bacteria; Pseudomonadati; Bacteroidota; Flavobacteriia; Flavobacteriales; Flavobacteriaceae. The record is from Rfam by way of RNAcentral.